GCUCCUGUAGCACAAUGGAUAGUGCAGUGGCCUCCGAAGCCAUUGAUCUGGGUUCGACUCCCGGCGGGAGCACCA
RNAcentral lists this transfer RNA (75 nucleotides) under Opitutaceae bacterium. Its description in RNAcentral is "tRNA-Arg". It matches the Rfam family "tRNA". Rfam says of the family: Transfer RNA (tRNA) molecules are approximately 80 nucleotides in length. The record is from RNAcentral. Lineage: Bacteria; Pseudomonadati; Verrucomicrobiota; Opitutia; Opitutales; Opitutaceae.